This 433-nucleotide ribosomal RNA is filed under the name uncultured bacterium. RNAcentral describes it as "partial 16S ribosomal RNA". It matches the Rfam family "Bacterial small subunit ribosomal RNA", at positions 29 to 507 of the family's 1533-position model. The record is from RNAcentral.
AACGAACGCUGGCGGCAUGCCUAACACAUGCAAGUCGAACGAGACCUUCGGGUCUAGUGGCGCACGGGUGCGUAACGCGUGGUAACCUGCCCUUAGGUUCGGAAUAACUCCCCGAAAGGUGUGCUAAUACCGGAUAAUGUCUUCGGACCAAAGAUUUAUCGCCUUUGGAUGGGCCCGCGUUGGAUUAGCUAGUUGGUAGGGUAAAAGCCUACCAAGGCGACGAUCCAUAGCUGGUCUGAGAGGAUGAUCAGCCACACUGGGACUGAGACACGGCCCAGACUCGUACGGGAGGGAGCAGUGGGGAAUAUUGGAGGAUGGGCGAAAGCGUGAUCCAGCAACGCCGCGUGAGAGAUGAAGGCCUUAGGGUUGUAAAGCUCUUUUACCCGGGAUGAUAAUGACAGUACCGGGAGAAGAAGCUCCGGCUAACUCCGUG